This 433-nucleotide ribosomal RNA is filed under the name uncultured bacterium. RNAcentral describes it as "partial 16S ribosomal RNA". It matches the Rfam family "Bacterial small subunit ribosomal RNA", at positions 28 to 507 of the family's 1533-position model. The record is from RNAcentral.
GACGAACGCUGGCGGCAGGCUUAACACAUGCAAGUCGAACGCACCUUUCGGGGUGAGUGGCCGACGGGUGAGUAACGCGUGGGAAUCUACCCUUCUCUACGGGAUAGCUCCGGGAAACUGGAAUUAAUACCGUAUACGUCCUGAGGGAGAAAGAUUUAUCGGGGAAGGAUGAGCCGGCGUUGGAUUAGCUAGUUGGUGGGGUAAAGGCCUACCAGAGCGACGAUCCAUAGCUGGUCUAAGAGGAGGAGCAGCCACAUUGGGGCUGGGCAACGGCCCAAACUCCUAGGCAAGGCGGGAGAGGGGAAUAUAGCACAGUGGCGGCAAGCAUGAUCCUGCCCUGCCGGGUGAGUGAUGAAGGCCCUAGGGAUGUAAAGCUCGUUCAGAGGGGACGAUAAUGACGGUACCCACAGAAGAAGCACCGGCUAACUUCGUG